GACGAACGCUGGCGGCGUGCCUAAUACAUGCAAGUCGAACGAACCGCGACUGAGUUCUUGCACUUGGUCAAGGCGAGUGGCGAACGGGUGAGUAACACGUGGGUAACCUACCUCAUAGUGGUGGCUAACAGUCGGAAACGACUGCUAAUACCGCAUAGUACAUGGAAUCACAUGAUUCUGUGAGGAAAGGUGGCGCAAGCUAUCUCUAAGAGUUGGACCCGCGGUGCAUUAGCUAGUUGGUAGGGUAAGGGCCUACCAAGGCGAUGUUGCAUAGCCGACCUGAGAGGGUGAUCGGCCACAUUGGGACUGAGACACGGCCCAGACUCCUACGGGAGGCAGCAGUAGGGAAUCUUCCGCAAUGGACGAAAGUCUGACGGAGCAACGCCGCGUGAGUGAAGAAGGUCUUCGGAUCGUAAAGCUCUGUUGUUAGGGAAGAACAGCGCAUAGAGUAACUGUUAUGCGUGUGACGGUAUCUAACCAGAAAGCCACGGCUAACUACGUG
Molecule: ribosomal RNA, 502 nt
Filed under: uncultured bacterium
Lineage: Bacteria
Description: partial 16S ribosomal RNA
Rfam family: Bacterial small subunit ribosomal RNA
Source: RNAcentral